GACGUAGGAAGCAAGCGUUGUCCGGAAUUACUGGGCGUAAAGUGUGCGUAGGCUGUUUUUUAAGUCUGAUGUGAAAUCCUGUGGCUUAACCAUAGAACUGCAUCAGAUACUGGGAGACUAGAGUGCGGAAGAGGUUGACGGAAUUACUGGUGUAGCGGUAGAAUGCGUAGAUAUUAGUAAGAAGACCGGUGGCGAAGGCGGUCAACUGGGACGUAACUGACGCUGAGGCACGAAAGCGUGGGGAGCAAACAGG
Molecule: ribosomal RNA, 253 nt
Filed under: uncultured bacterium
Lineage: Bacteria
Description: partial 16S ribosomal RNA
Rfam family: Bacterial small subunit ribosomal RNA
Source: RNAcentral